GAAAGAUGUUAAGAUUUUGGAGAAGGGAAAUGAAUUAGAAACUGAUGUUGGUGGCAGUGGAGGGAAUAGAUUUGACGGGAGUGGAGGAAAUGGGAAAUAUCCAAGUGGUGGACGGCAGCGGUGGCAGUGGUAGCGGCGAGGAUGGUGAAAGAGAGGACAAAGGAGAAGAAGAAGAGUUUGGACCCAUUAUGAAGUUUGAUGAGGUGAUUAAAGAGACGGAGGCGCAAGGAGCAAGUCUCCCAUCUGAUAUGUUAGAGGCCGCCAAGAUUGUGGGGAUUCGUAGAUUGCUUCUGCUAAGAUAUUUGGAUUUGCAGGGGUCUGGGCUUUUGGGUUUUGCAAUGAAGUCUUGCUCUAUGCUUCGAAACAGAAUGUUGGCUGAUCCAUCUUUCCUCUUCAAAAUUGGAACAGAGAUAGUUAUUGAUUCUUGCUGUGCUACAUUUGCUGAAAUUCAAAAGAGGGGUAAAGACUUUUGGGCAGAGUUUGAACUGUAUGUUGCAGACCUUUUGGUUGGUGUGGUGGUAAACGUUGCUUUGGUUAGCAUGUUAGCACCUUAUGCACGUAUUGGACAACCAUCAGUAUCUAAAGGGUUCUUUGGACGGCUAUUACAUGCUUAUGGAUCUCUUCCUAGUAGUGUCUUUGAAGCUGAAAGGCCUGGAUGUAGAUACUCUGUACAACAGAGAAUUGCAACAUAUUUCUACAAGGGAGUCCUAUAUGGAUUUGUUGGCUUUGCUUGUGGUAUUAUUGGCCAAGGCAUUGCAAAUCUCAUAAUGAAUGCCAAGCGGAGCAUAAAGAAAUCA
RNAcentral lists this unclassified non-coding RNA (797 nucleotides) under Hevea brasiliensis (rubber tree). The record is from RNAcentral. Lineage: Eukaryota; Viridiplantae; Streptophyta; Magnoliopsida; Malpighiales; Euphorbiaceae.